This is a non-coding RNA of Cinara cedri, 317 nucleotides long. The record is from the annotation of a GenBank genome assembly. NCBI's taxonomy places the organism in Eukaryota, Metazoa, Arthropoda, Insecta, Hemiptera, Aphididae.
AUUCGGUUACCGGUAAGUAACUCGGAAUGCCGAAAAAUAACGUGAAUUUAUAAAUCUUCUUAACGGCAAAGCGUAUCCAGAGGGGUUAUAUAGUGUGGUUUUAUUUCACAUAUUCGAUUAGGUUACACGAUGAUGAAUGCACAGCAUUAUGACAACUGGGCUGUGAUCGUCUUCUCAAUUAGGAUUAGGUGUUAGGUUAGUUAGGUAGGUUAGGCUUAAUUAGUGUUUAAAGAUCCUACAGCCCAGUGCAAUGAUUACUUGUAUCUGAGUGCGACCUACAACAAGCGAAUAUAUUGGUCUUCUCUUGACCAUCGUUC